Molecule: ribosomal RNA, 73 nt
Filed under: Rhizophagus intraradices
Lineage: Eukaryota; Fungi; Glomeromycota; Glomeromycetes; Glomerales; Glomeraceae
Description: partial 25S ribosomal RNA
Source: RNAcentral
GCAUAUCAAUAAGCGGAGGAAUCACGAAUUCUGGAUCCGAGACGAACGCGNUGCAGCAUGCGGACCNUCCCNA